AGUGAACGCUGGCGGCGUGCUUAACACAUGCAAGUCGAACGGGAACGGAAUAUAGCUUGCUAUAUUUGUCAGCUAAGUGGCGCACGGGUGAGUAAUGUAUAGAUAACCUGCCCUUAAGAAAGGAGUAACAGUUGGAAACGACUGCUAAUGCCCUAUAUGCCUUUAAUACAUAAGUAUGCAAGGGAAACGCUUUAGUGCUUAAGGAUUGGUCUGUAUGGUAUCAGCUUGUUGGUGAGGUAAGGGCUCACCAAGGCUAUGACGCCUAACUGGUUUGAGAGGAUGAGCAGUCACACUGGAGCUCAGACACGGUUCAGACUCCUACGGGAGGCAGCAGUGUGGAAUAUUGCACAAUGGACGAAAGUCUGAUGCAGCAACGCCGCGUGGAGGAUGACACAUUUCGGUGCGUAAACUCCUUUUAUAUAGGAAGAUAAUGACGGUACUAUAUGAAUAAGCACCGGCUAACUCCGUGCCAGCCGCCGCGGUAA
RNAcentral lists this ribosomal RNA (485 nucleotides) under uncultured bacterium. RNAcentral describes it as "partial 16S ribosomal RNA". It matches the Rfam family "Bacterial small subunit ribosomal RNA", at positions 29 to 523 of the family's 1533-position model. The record is from RNAcentral.